Molecule: ribosomal RNA, 426 nt
Filed under: uncultured bacterium
Lineage: Bacteria
Description: bacterial SSU rRNA
Rfam family: Bacterial small subunit ribosomal RNA
Source: RNAcentral
GCAAGGAAUUUUGGGCAAUGGACGAAAGUCUGACCCAGCGACACCGCGUGAGGGAAUAAGGCCUUCGGGUUGUAAACCUCUUUUCUUGGGGAAGAAUCUCGACGGUACCCAAGGAAUAAGCCUCGGCCAACUACGUGCCAGCAGCCGCGGUAAUACGUAGGAGGCGAACGUUAUUCGGAUUUACUGGGCGUAAAGGGAGCGUAGGCGGUUCCUUAAGUCGGAUGUGAAAUCUUCUGACUCAAUCGGAAGGCGCCAUUUGAUACUGAGGGACUUGAGAGCAGCAGAGGGAAAUGGAAUCUCCAGUGUAGCGGUGAAAUGCGUAGAUAUUGGAGAGAACACCAGUGGCAAAGGCGGUUUCCCAGGCUGCUUCUGACGCUGAGGCUCGAAAGCGUGGGGAGCGAAGCGGAUUAGAUACCCCAGUAGUCC